Phalacrocorax carbo (great cormorant) is the source of this 5184-nucleotide non-coding RNA. NCBI's taxonomy places the organism in Eukaryota, Metazoa, Chordata, Aves, Suliformes, Phalacrocoracidae. The record is from RefSeq and is a predicted model, not a curated record.
GUUGAAUUAUGCUGCCACUUACCAAGAAGAAAAAACCAGCAUAAGAGCAUUAGUUUAAUGGACAUGCCUUGGAUUUACACUGCCAUCCUGAAGGCAGAAUUGUCCCCUGUGGAUGUAGAAGUAUCACAGUAACUCUCCCCAGAGUAUUAGACGAGGAAGGAUGGCAGCAACUCCUGGGAGAGUCUCCCCUGAAUCUACUGCUGUUCUGCAGGACCCACAGAAUCCCAGUUUCAAAAUACGGAGGGGUGCAGAAUUCAUCCACCGGCCUUUGCCAUGUUGUGAAUAUGCACAGUCUGUUUCUUCUGGAAGAACUCCAAGUGACUGAAAGACUUCCUCCUCCUGUGUUGGGUGGCGUAUUGAACAGCAACACUUACACUUAACAUCACAACUCUGAUGUUCUUCCAGAGGAGAUUGCUCAGCCUAGGUAGUGUAUCUGUAACGCAGAGGAGGCGGGAGGAGGAAAGAUGAUCCCAGAAUUUCCCAGACUUCAAGAGCAAAGGAACUCCAUAAUGAAAGAGGUUAUCAUCCAGGAGUUAUACCAAGUUUGCUUUUAAACCCUGCGAUGGGAAGAUGCUAUUCUAUGAACAAAGCCUUCAGGUCCCUCCCCGGGCAGGGGUGGCACGAGGAGAGCAGCGGUGCUGUUUCGGAUCGCAGGAGCACAGGCAACACCGUUGAGCCAAGCCAUGUUGUGAUGGAGAUACCCCUUCCAUCAGCGAGGACCAUACCAGUCUUCUGGGAGAAGGGCUUCUUGCUGCCAUGAAACCACUGUGCUGUGCCCGCGCCAUCCUCUGUUAACUCUUGCAAACCAGCCAGACAAGCUGAAAUUCCAGCAUCGCCGUACCAAGAGGGACGUUUUGGUAAAAUGAAAAGAUUUCGAAAUCUCAACAAGAAAGGCUGUAAAAUUGCCUUGAGUGUUUGAAAUAAUGUAUGUAUGCAUAUAUCUAGGUAUACCUGUAUAACUACAUGAGCCAAACGACUUGCUUUGGCUUGCUUAUCAUUCUAAGACAUAAAACAGGUAAUCUAGCUUUAUUUGACACCUACGAUAAUCAUCCAAGAAAAUGAGAGGCUCUGUAAUGGAGGUCUAUAAACAGGUCUUGCAGGUCAUUCGCACAAGCUGGCUCUGCACGCCAGGGCUCUAUGGAAACGUGGCUAUAAACACUGUGUUGGAUCAAGAGCUUCUCUACUGACAGAAAAGACGAACACUAAAGCUGUACAAAACUGACUAAGGCUCAGAAAAUGAUUCACUCUCUUAAUUAAUUUUCCAUUUUGGUUGGUGGAAUGCCCUUAGGUGGCUGCAGUGGGCUCAGAUUUCUUCUUUCUGGGCAGAGUUCACCUUUGCACAAGGACUGGGAAACUCUCCUCUCCCACCCUCCAUGCACUGAGGAGCCCAGGCAGGACUCUUUAAGGGAAUAUUUUCCUCUACCCGAACCAUUCUGAAUCACACUAAUUUCUUAAGGCACAGUCACAUGUGGCUCAGAGGCUUAUUUAAUUGCCAGCACAGUGGUACGCUGGGAAGCCUGUAGCCUUGCUUUGUUAAGCAAUGCCCAUCCCCAUCUCAUAGAAAGUAUCCCCAAGUGCAUCACUUCAGUCUUCUGUCACGACAGCCCCCAGUAAAAGCAACUGUACAUGUGAGCAGUCCUUCUUGCAAAGGAUGCCGUGUUCUGGUUCAUUUCCCGGUUGCCUUUGUGCUAAAACUCUUCCUUCACUGCGCGAAUCAAGCACUCAUAAAACAAGGCAGAGCUGGCGAGCAGAGUCAGGCAUGCACUCCCUAACCCGUGCAGGAUUCAAAUGCCCGCGGUCUGCCAUCUUGUACCAGUGCAGCUGGAGUAAACUCAUGCUACAACACAAAUGUUCGCAUGCUGCUUUUAUGUCAAGUUUGUGUGGUCAUUGAAGUUCAGUAGAAACAGUUUGCUUGCUUUCUUUUGAGUAAUAACAAAUUGAAGGCUCUGCUCCAGCAGUUUCUUCUAUGAUUUACAAGUACAUCCUUAGGCACAGUUUUCCCACUGAAAUCCUUUACUCUGAUCAGGAGACACGUCGAAAGAGGUGGAAAGAGCCCCCAUGUCACGCCCCAGGACAUCCUAGGGAGGGGAUAGGCAAUCCUGUGCCUUAUCUCUCCCAGCUCUCCCCCUACGAUAUGCUUGGAGAAAUUACUAAGCUGGGGAGAGGAGCUGGAGCAACAUGAGGUAGGUGCGUAGGAGGUUGCCAGUGGGGUUGUUCCAGCUUAUGCUGGGAGUCACCUUGACCCAGCACUACAAAGGAAAUGUAAAACUAAAUUUCUUCUUUCCAUUCCUGCCCCACAAACUGUACAGCAUAAAAUGUAUCACUUUUUUUUUUUUUUUUUCAAAUAGCAUUUGUAUAUGCAUUAUUAAUGUAACUAAAACCCAAACUUUCAAUUUGCCACUCCCUGGACACUUGCACUUAGAAAUGUGUGUUAUAUCAUUGUCUGUUUAGAGAUGGUGUUAAGUUCUAGCUGGAAAAGAAAGGUGUGGUGCUGGGAACUGUAUCUUUCCCAAAAGAAACACUGAAGUCUCUAUUUUUUUUCAGGACAGCAGUGUGUAAGGGUCUCGCCUGAUCUGGGCACAGGGGGAGAGCAGCAUAAUGAGAGGGCAUGGUCUGUUCUACUCUACCAGGCAGCAGCUACAAUUUGGCUGCUUCUGCCGUUGCACCUGCACUAAUCCGUGAUUUGUCUGUUUUCCCCCUUCCAGUAUUUUGCUGAUAAACAUCAGUUUAAAACCCAAAAUGUAGCCCACUAAUAAAUCAUAGUUAUUUGUUCUAUCAAGCUUUCACCUGGCUAAGCCUUAAAUUUCUGCUGCCCUGAGGAAGACUUAGAUUAGGGUGCUCCAUAUGGUAUCAGGGAUGGAAGAAGGUUUAUGGAGCUGGGGUUUUUUAGCAAACCAUCAGAAGCUUUAGGGUUCCACUUUACUCCUGAGGAAAGCUGCUGGCAGAAUAGAUUUCCCUAGUCAGGUUGGCAGAAAAAUUACUGACACCUCUAAGAAGCUAGGUACGGACUGGAGUUUUGGCCCAGUGAGCUUUUUAAAGUCAAGAUUCCCAUGAAAGCCACGUGAAGUCAAUGGAGACAUUUCCACUGAUUUCAAAAGGCUUUGAGUUGUAUCAUAUAUCCCACAGAGUAAAAAUCUCACAGGCUCUUCAAAACCUGACUUAGGUGGAUUUGGACAGUAGGUCUGUGGUAAAGGGGAAGGGGACAACAGCUCCCUUCCUCUCUGAGGAAGACAGAAGGUGCAGAAUAUGCACCUGUUGGCUUAUCUACAGCGUGGUGUGGCCCCAGAGCAGCCAGUGCCCAUUGCAGGGAGCCACAAGGGAUGUGCCACCCGGCCAGCCGUUGUCCCUCAUGACGUCUCACCAACAUUUUCCGUGGGCAGGCUGUGGUGCAGUGGGGUGAUCAGGAGUCACUGACGCUCUGGAGCCUAUCAUGAUCCGUGCAAUGUAGGGGUGGAGGCCGCAGCUUCUUGGGUGUUUGUCUCCCCUCCACCAGAUGGGAAAAUAGCUCUUUUGUGGAAGUCUGAAGGUUGGGAGAUGACCAGCAUUAGCACGCACACCUUGCAGAGGCCUAUGCCUUCAGGCAGGAAUUAGACAAGAGAGUUGAGUUGAAAUGGGAAGAAACUGCUCCUGAAGCACCCUAUGGUGGAGUGUAAGGUUUCAUUUCUAACGUCCAGCACCUGCACUCAACUGCGCUUGGGAGAAGCUGGCUGUUUAACUCUGGGUACUGUCAGCAGGGCCAGGAUUUUGACUCCUGUAAUUAGCAGAUAACAUCAGGACAUCAGUGUGCCAGGCAGCAAAGGGGUCCCUUCUCCAAACAUCUGCCCCCAGCGCCCCACUAGGAGGAGAAAAAUAUGAGCACAGGGAAUUACAGUGACAGCCCCCACGAUCUGGCAUAUGUCACUGCCUCCGAGGCUGAUUUAACUGGGCGGCAGGUAGAAAAGACAAAUAUUCACUUGAGGAGCUGGAGAAAAUGGAGGCAAGGCAAAAUGAGAUAAAACCUAUUAGAGAGAGUGUUUUACAGUGCAAUUCCUUGGGGGUCUGGGAAGGAAGGAGAAAGCUCACCAUAAAUGGAAGAAGUCUUGAACUAUAAUUAAUUUACCUUGUCCAAGUUUUUUACCGCAUUUCUACCGUAUUUCCAUGCAUGAGAAAAAAAAUACACCAAAACUCACACGUUCUGUAUUUUUUAAGUACACAACAGAUAACUGUCUCACAACAGAUUAGCAUUGUAGUAUAUUUGCUCAGUAUAUGUAAGGGCUUGUGAUGGUCUUGGACUUCAGCUUCAGAUGAAAUAAUCAAACUGGACUGAGAGCGUUUAUUGGAAAGACAGUAUGAGAAAAGAUGCUGCUGCUGUCUGAACUACCUGACUCCUGCAAAUUAACAACAUAAAGCAGAGGUGUUCUUGGAAAUCUGUAGGCAAGAUGCUAAGCUCCACUGCUUGCACUUAGCCAAAUGGGUAUCAGGAGCAGUGAAGGCAGCUGCCCUCCCAAAGCUGCUGGUCACUCAAAGUCAAUCUGGGAUGUGACAAUCAACUCAGAGUCUCUCUAGCCCAUAUCUUACCAAAAAGAGGCUGGGAAAUCAGGCUAUAUUUAACAUUUCUAGCACUAGCUGUAGUAGAUUCCAGCUUAGUUACCUGUGUGGGUUCUAUAGGUAAAUGUAUGCCUGUACCAAAUGUAAUUUGUGCUUCUCACAGUGCUGUCAGCAGCAGACAAGACACCAAAAGAUCUGAUCUGCCUGAAGCCAGAGCUCACAUAAUCACUUUUGCUAUGUGGAACUGCAGCAGAUACAAAUGACAGGAUUCCAGUGAAGGUCUGAACUGUCCCCAGGUUCAAGGAUGCUUGGAUCAGGGCCUGGAGUCUGAUAGGAAAUCAAGGCUAAAUUUUGCACUUUCCCCUUUAUAGUGUUGACUAUACAGAAAAAAAAAAGAAAUAUAUGGAAGGAAGCAAAACAUAUAUAUGCACUUCUGCAGUCUGAGAGCUGGUUUCAGUACUGCGUACUUUUAUGUAGAACUCAAUAAAAUGCAUUUGCAAACAUAAUUACAGAUGCAGCAAUGUUCUCUAAUAAUGGAUUAUAUAACGCAUGUUUUGAAAUGCAUUCGUAUCAAGUUCUUGGCAAAUUAUACUACCUACUGUAACCAGGUGUUAUAAAACCAAUUAUGGGUAUAUAGGAAUUACUGACACAAUGUAU